UUAAAGUUUGAUUCUUUCUUGAGUUUUUAUAUAUUUGUUGCAGUUGCAUGGGAAUUAUAGUAUGUAUAAACUUCUUUUUUUAAGAGAAAGAAACAUUAAAACAGAGAAAUAGAAAUUGUUCGUAAAGUAUAAAUGCUCAGCAUAUAUUAUUAAUUAAUUUAGGAAACUAAGAGUUAGCAGACAAAGCAGACCUGAUAAAACAUUGUGCCAGCAGUCGCGGUUAUACAUUAAGGUCAAGUAAAAAACAAAUAUUUUUUAGUUAAAUUUGAAAAAUUUAGCUAAUAUUGCUUAAAAAAUUUAGGGGUAAAAUCAGAAAUUUUCGAAGCUAAUAGCUAAAUAAAAUUGAAGCUAAAGAAGUUUAGACUUAAACUAGGAUUAGAUACCCUAUUAUACUAAAAAUAAAUUUUUAAAAGUUGAUUACUAUUAGAUAUGUUCUUAAAAUUUGAAGAAUUUGGCGGUAGUUUAGUCUUGUUAGAGGAACCUGUUUCAUUAAAUCGAUAAACCGCGUAAUAUCUUGCUUUCCUUUGUCAGGCAACUUAUAUACCGUCAUUAGCAGACAAUUUCAUAAGAAUUAAUUGUUACAAUUUAUAAGAUAUAAAUGAAAUUAGAUCAAGGUGUAGUCUAUAGGGAAGCUGAAAUGGGUUACAAUAAAAUUUGUUUAAACGUAUUUACGGAGUAAGAGUCAGUAAUGAAGGAGGAUUUAAUUGUAAUUAUAAAUCAACAUGUUAUUAUGAUAAUAGCACUAAAUUAUGUACAUAUUGCCCGUCGCUUUCAUUCAAAGAUGAGAUAAGUCGUAACAUAGUAGGUUUAUUGGAAAUUGAACCUAGAUUGGU
RNAcentral lists this non-coding RNA (833 nucleotides) under Trapezia digitalis. Lineage: Eukaryota; Metazoa; Arthropoda; Malacostraca; Decapoda; Trapeziidae. The record is from RNAcentral.